CGGGACGGGUGAGUAACGCGUGGGCAACCUACCGUAUACAGGGGGAUAACACUUAGAAAUAGGUGCUAAUACCGCAUAAGCGCACAGCAGUGCAUACUGGAGUGUGAAAAGCCGAGACGGUAUACGAUGGGCCCGCGUCUGAUUAGCCAGUUGGCAGGGUAACGGCCUACCAAAGCGACGAUCAGUAGCCGGCCUGAGAGGGCGGACGGCCACAUUGGGACUGAGACACGGCCCAGACUCCUACGGAAGGCAGCAG
RNAcentral lists this ribosomal RNA (256 nucleotides) under uncultured bacterium. Its description in RNAcentral is "partial 16S ribosomal RNA". It matches the Rfam family "Bacterial small subunit ribosomal RNA", at positions 98 to 354 of the family's 1533-position model. The record is from RNAcentral.